RNAcentral lists this ribosomal RNA (477 nucleotides) under uncultured bacterium. RNAcentral's name for it is "bacterial SSU rRNA". It matches the Rfam family "Bacterial small subunit ribosomal RNA", at positions 335 to 798 of the family's 1533-position model. The record is from RNAcentral.
ACUCCUACGGGAGGCAGCAGUGGGGAAUAUUGGACAAUGGGCGAAAGCCUGAUCCAGCCAUGCCGCGUGUGUGAAGAAGGUCUUCGGAUUGUAAAGCACUUUAAGUUGGGAGGAAGGGCGAGUAAGUUAAUACCUUGCUGUUUUGUACGUUACCAACAGAAUAAGCACCGGCUAACUUCGUGCCAGCAGCCGCGGUAAUACGAAGGGGUGCAAGCGUUAAUCGGAAUUACUGGGGCGUAAAGCGCGCGUAGGUGGUUCAGCAAGUUGGAUGUGAAAUCCCCGGGGCUCAACCUGGGAACUGCAUCCAAAACUACUGAGCUAGAGUACGGUAGAGGGUGGUGGAAUUUCCUGUGUAGCGGUGAAAUGCGUAGAUAUAGGAAGGAACACCAGUGGCGAAGGCGACCACCUGGACUGAUACUGACACUGAGGUGCGAAAGCGUGGGGAGCAAACAGGAUUAGAUACCCCUGGUAGGAUAG